Long non-coding RNA from Cygnus olor (mute swan), 729 nucleotides. RefSeq lists it as uncharacterized. The record is from RefSeq and is a predicted model, not a curated record. The transcript is spliced from 3 exons. Lineage: Eukaryota; Metazoa; Chordata; Aves; Anseriformes; Anatidae.
CUGCCAUUUGCUGCUACAGAAAGACAAGACAGGACAUUAGGAGAAAAUCCUCAAGUUGUCUCAGCUUCAGCUCCUGGAGAUCCUCACAGCAGCAGACCUGAAGCCCACGAUCAUUCUGUUGUUGCUGAAGUUCAUUCAGAAGUUGCUGAAGGAGACACGGAGCCAUCCAGAGGUGCCUCAUUCACACACCACUGCGUUUGGUCAUUCCUACCAGCGGUUUCAGGUUCUAGGUCACCCAGCCUUGAGAAAUCCAACAGGAGGCCUACACAAGGAGGCCCACUUAAACCCUGAGAAUAAGGCUGGAGCAAAACUGGUGCAGGGCUCCAUACAAUGCUUCUGAAGUUGACUCUGCCAUUCAUGCUUUAUCUUCUAGAAAAACACCCUUUUUCAGAAGAAAAUGUCCCUAUCAACUUUCAGUACUGCGUUAGAGAAGCACAAGGCUACCCUCCUUCAAAGCCUUUCGCCCACCUGCACUCUUUCCAGUCUCACAGCUGAAUGUGCAGCAUUUUUAAAUACAUCACCAAGCGAGCAUAUUUCAAACCCACACAUUUUGGACAGGCUCAAAACCUGCAUUGUGGCUUCUUUCUUUUUUCUGUUGUGUUUGCCGCUUUGAUUUAUUUACUUCUCAUAUCAUGUUUAGACUUGCUAAAUAUAAAAGCUGUUUAAAAUAACUGUGCAAAAUAUUCUCCAAGUCCUUGAGAAAAAAAAUACAGUGCUCAAGACUGCCUU